GAUGAACGCUAGCGGCAGGCCUAACACAUGCAAGUCGAGGGAGAAGCCCUUUCGGGGGCAGAAACCGGCGCACGGGUGCGUAACGCGUAUGCAACCUACCUUUCACAGGGGGAUAGCCCGAAGAAAUUUGGAUUAAUACCCCAUAAUAUUAUUGGAUGGCAUCAUUUGAUAAUUAAAACUGCGGUGGUGAAAGAUGGGCAUGCGUCCUAUUAGCUAGUUGGAGUGGUAACGGCACCCCAAGGCUACGAUAGGUAGGGGUCCUGAGAGGGAGAUCCCUCACACUGGUACUGAGACAGGGACCAGACUCCUAUGGGAGGCAGCAGUGAGGAAGAUUGGUCAAUGGUCGGAAGACUGAACCAGCCAUGCCGCGUGCAGGAAGAAUGCCUUAUGGGUUGUAAACUGCUUUUAUAUGGGAAGAAUAAGGCGUACGUGUACGUUGAUGACGGUACCAUAUGAAUAAGCAUCGGCUAACUCCGUG
This 478-nucleotide ribosomal RNA is filed under the name uncultured bacterium. Its description in RNAcentral is "partial 16S ribosomal RNA". It matches the Rfam family "Bacterial small subunit ribosomal RNA", at positions 28 to 507 of the family's 1533-position model. The record is from RNAcentral.